This 255-nucleotide ribosomal RNA is filed under the name uncultured bacterium. RNAcentral describes it as "partial 16S ribosomal RNA". It matches the Rfam family "Bacterial small subunit ribosomal RNA", at positions 524 to 776 of the family's 1533-position model. The record is from RNAcentral.
UACGGAGGGAGCUAGCGUUGUUCGGAAUUACUGGGCGUAAAGCGUACGUAGGCGGCUUUGUAAGUUAGAGGUGAAAGCCUGGAGCUCAACUCCAGAACUGCCUUUAAAACUGCAUCGCUUGAAUCCAGGAGAGGAUAGUGGAAUUCCCAGUGUAGUGGUGAAAUACGUAGAGAUUGGGAAGAACACCAGUGGCGAAGGCGGCUAUCUGGACGGUUUCUGACGCUAAGACGCGAAAAGCGUGGGGGAGCAAACAGG